UACAGAGACCUCGAGCGUUAUCCGGAAUCAUUGGGCGUAAAGCGUACCGAUAGGUGGUUUAGAAAGUUUUGGGUAAAAGCCAGAAGCUUAACUUCUGAGUUUGCUCAAAAUACUUCUCAACUAGAGGGGCAAAGAGGUCCUUGGAACGAAUGGUGUAGUAGUGAAAUGCGUUGAUAUCAUUCGGAACACCGAAAGCGAAGGCAGAGGACUGGGUGCCACCUGACACUGCUAGGACGAAAGCGUGGGGAGCGAAUGGG
Molecule: unclassified non-coding RNA, 257 nt
Filed under: uncultured Parcubacteria group bacterium
Lineage: Bacteria
Description: contains 16S-23S intergenic spacer region
Rfam family: Bacterial small subunit ribosomal RNA
Source: RNAcentral